This 224-nucleotide long non-coding RNA is filed under the name Elaeis guineensis (African oil palm). RNAcentral's name for it is "long non-coding RNA (EGUI_LNC029345)". Lineage: Eukaryota; Viridiplantae; Streptophyta; Magnoliopsida; Arecales; Arecaceae. The record is from RNAcentral.
AAGUAUGAUAGGUAUAUUAUGUGUCUGACAAUAAGAAGAAGAAGUGAUCAAUUAUCAUUAGAAACAAGCUUAGAAAUAUUUUUUUCUGUUCAUAGUUCAAUUGAUGUUCUCAACAUUGAUGAAACAACUAAUAAACCUUAUCAAGAGAAUGAGCUUGAAAGCAACACUAGAAUUUUUUCUCUUGAGAGUGGACAACUAUGGGUUGAUAUUGGUAUUUCAUCAGG